RNAcentral lists this transfer RNA (75 nucleotides) under Hyphomicrobiales bacterium. RNAcentral's name for it is "Rhizobiales bacterium tRNA-Phe". It matches the Rfam family "tRNA". Rfam says of the family: Transfer RNA (tRNA) molecules are approximately 80 nucleotides in length. Their secondary structure includes four short double-helical elements and three loops (D, anti-codon, and T loops). Lineage: Bacteria; Pseudomonadati; Pseudomonadota; Alphaproteobacteria; Hyphomicrobiales. The record is from RNAcentral.
GCCCAGGUAGCUCAGGGGUAGAGCAGAGGACUGAAAAUCCUCGUGUCUGUGGUUCGAUUCCGCCCCUGGGCACCA